RNAcentral lists this long non-coding RNA (307 nucleotides) under Androctonus crassicauda. The record is from RNAcentral. Lineage: Eukaryota; Metazoa; Arthropoda; Arachnida; Scorpiones; Buthidae.
GUUGCGUUGAAUGGCUGGCCCAAUGAACUUUAUUAGUGGAGUUCUGCAUGCACAAAAUUUUUUGUCAAAAUCGACGAGUCAUGAGUCGUGUAGACGACCUUGUAAGACUGAAACUAUCAGACAUGGAAAAAAAAUUCAAAGUUUAGCUCAAUCAGACAGUCACAAAUAUUCUAUUAAGAGUUUUUUCAAAUUUAACAUAUGCCUAAGUAAGAACCAAUUGUUUUGUUGAAUUCAUUUUAUAUUCAUUUUCUUGUAGCUAUCAGUUUAUUUUUUAUUAAUGUUUGUACUUAGAUAUUUAAGAUUAUGU